GGCAGUUCCCCGGUGAUUCACCCUGGAAUCAGGCUCCUUCCUCUCUGGUUCUGGGUGCGUCACCCAAGAACCACA
Non-coding RNA from Myotis davidii, 75 nucleotides. NCBI's taxonomy places the organism in Eukaryota, Metazoa, Chordata, Mammalia, Chiroptera, Vespertilionidae. The record is from Rfam.